GGAUUAGUGGCGAACGGGUGAGUAACACGUGAGUAACCUGCCCUGGACUCUGGGAUAACCCCGAGAAAUCGGAGCUAAUACCGGAUAGGACCUGGAACCGCAUGGUUUUGGGUGGAAAGUUUUUUCGGUCUGGGAUGGACUCGCGGCCUAUCAGCUUGUUGGUGAGGUAAUGGCUCACCAAGGCGUCGACGGGUAGCCGGCCUGAGAGGGUGACCGGCCACACUGGGACUGAGACACGGCCCAGACUCCUACGGGAGGCAGCAGUGGGGAAUAUUGCACAAUGGGCGAAAGCCUGAUGCAGCAACGCCGCGUGAGGGAUGACGGCCUUCGGGUUGUAAACCUCUUUUAGUAGGGAAGAAGGGCUUCGGCUUGACGGUACCUGCAGAAAAAGCACCGGCUAACUACGUGCCAGCAGCCGCGGUAAUACGUAGGGUGCGAGCGUUGUCCGGAAUUAUUGGGCGUAAAGAGCUCGUAGGCGGUUUGUCACGUCUGCUGUGAAAUCCCGAGGCUCAACCUCGGGCCUGCAGUGGGUACGGGCAGACUGGAGUGCGGUAGGGGAGAUUGGAAUUCCUGGUGUAGCGGUGGAAUGCGCAGAUAUCAGGAGGAACACCGAUGGCGAAGGCAGAUCUCUGGGCCGUAACUGACGCUGAGGAGCGAAAGCGUGGGGAGCGAACAGGAUUAGAUACCCUGGUAGUCCACGCCGUAAACGUUGGGCGCUAGAUGUGGGGACCAUUCCACGGUUUCCGUGUCGUAGCUAACGCAUUAAGCGCCCC
Molecule: ribosomal RNA, 773 nt
Filed under: Agromyces sp.
Lineage: Bacteria; Bacillati; Actinomycetota; Actinomycetes; Micrococcales; Microbacteriaceae
Description: bacterial SSU rRNA
Rfam family: Bacterial small subunit ribosomal RNA
Source: RNAcentral